This 301-nucleotide ribosomal RNA is filed under the name uncultured bacterium. Its description in RNAcentral is "partial 16S ribosomal RNA". It matches the Rfam family "Bacterial small subunit ribosomal RNA", at positions 509 to 807 of the family's 1533-position model. The record is from RNAcentral.
CAGUAGCCGCGGUAAUACGAAGGGCGCAAGCGUUAAUCGGAAUUACUGGGCGUAAAGCGUGCGUAGGCGGUGAGUUAAGUCUGCUGUGAAAUCCCCGGGCUCAACCUGGGAAUGGCAGUGGAUACUGGCUCGCUAGAGUGUGUCAGAGGAUGGUGGAAUUCCCGGUGUAGCGGUGAAAUGCGUAGAGAUCGGGAGGAACAUCAGUGGCGAAGGCGGCCAUCUGGGACAACACUGACGCUGAGGCACGAAAGCGUGGGGAGCAAACAGGAUUAGAUACCCCAGUAGUCCCUGUCUCUUAUAC